Molecule: long non-coding RNA, 413 nt
Organism: Ctenocephalides felis (cat flea)
Lineage: Eukaryota; Metazoa; Arthropoda; Insecta; Siphonaptera; Pulicidae
Exons: 3
Source: RefSeq, a predicted model, not a curated record
CAUCACGCCACGAGGGCUUGCGAGCCCUCAUUGGUCCUAGUACAACACUAAAAAUACGAGUUGCGCUGUGACGCGCGGCAUGUGAGUUACUAAGAGUUGAGUCAAACUAUUUCUAAACGGUCGCGGCUAAAUUAUUCAAGUGUUUAGUGUUUACAAUAAUCAAAUUAAUAAUUACAACCACAAUAGUGAUCAAAAUAUAAAUAUCUGGAUAUCAUUCACCUAUUACAACCGGCAGUUAUAAAAUAAAUUUGAAUCAUGUUCGUGGACGAUCCAGCCAACAUGGACUCCGUGUGGGUGUCUUCCGCCAUGGGUGCCCUCAAGGCAUUGGCACUGGUUUGUGAUAUAAUAACAUUUCCAGUAUAUUUGGUUCUUCAACAACCAUGGAAACAAAGGCAACUCGCCAAAAGGCCAAA